Molecule: unclassified non-coding RNA, 326 nt
Filed under: Hevea brasiliensis (rubber tree)
Lineage: Eukaryota; Viridiplantae; Streptophyta; Magnoliopsida; Malpighiales; Euphorbiaceae
Source: RNAcentral
UUUUCAGCAAAUCCACCAUUUUCUGGUCCAAAGAGACAAUUAGAUAUGAAACUGAUGGCAACAAAGAACAUAAUUGAACACAGAAUAAGCAAACAGAGGCUCAAAAACAACAAAAAGCAAAUCGCACAUCCAAAGAUUGGUGACGAAAGUAACGUUUUCAGAUCAAAGAAAUGAACCUUUCCAUUCAAGCAGCUAGGCAGAGUGAGAUAGGAGAAAGAGAGAUCUGUCCACGAGGCAUGGGCAAAUCAAAGAGCCACCUCCAGUCGCUGCUUCACCAUGGCUAGAAAACCCAUUAAAAGCAGACAGAGUUGCGUGGCAUCAAGAAG